This 897-nucleotide ribosomal RNA is filed under the name Cellulosimicrobium sp. PU-07. RNAcentral describes it as "bacterial SSU rRNA". It matches the Rfam family "Bacterial small subunit ribosomal RNA", at positions 78 to 987 of the family's 1533-position model. The record is from RNAcentral. Lineage: Bacteria; Bacillati; Actinomycetota; Actinomycetes; Micrococcales; Promicromonosporaceae.
GCUUGCUGGGUGGAUCAGUGGCGAACGGGUGAGUAACACGUGAGUAACCUGCCCCUGACUUUGGGAUAACUCCGGGAAACCGGGGCUAAUACCGGAUAUGAGCUUCCRCUGCAUGGUGGGGGUUGGAAAGAUUUAUCGGUUGGGGAUGGGCUCGCGGCCUAUCAGCUUGUUGGUGGGGUGAUGGCCUACCAAGGCGACGACGGGUAGCCGGCCUGAGAGGGCGACCGGCCACACUGGGACUGAGACACGGCCCAGACUCCUACGGGAGGCAGCAGUGGGGAAUAUUGCACAAUGGGCGCAAGCCUGAUGCAGCGACGCCGCGUGAGGGAUGACGGCCUUCGGGUUGUAAACCUCUUUCAGCAGGGAAGAAGCGCAAGUGACGGUACCUGCAGAAGAAGCGCCGGCUAACUACGUGCCAGCAGCCGCGGUAAUACGUAGGGCGCAAGCGUUGUCCGGAAUUAUUGGGCGUAAAGAGCUCGUAGGCGGUUUGUCGCGUCUGCUGUGAAAUCCCGAGGCUCAACCUCGGGCUUGCAGUGGGUACGGGCAGACUAGAGUGCGGUAGGGGAGACUGGAAUUCCUGGUGUAGCGGUGGAAUGCGCAGAUAUCAGGAGGAACACCGAUGGCGAAGGCAGGUCUCUGGGCCGCAACUGACGCUGAGGAGCGAAAGCAUGGGGAGCGAACAGGAUUAGAUACCCUGGUAGUCCAUGCCGUAAACGUUGGGCACUAGGUGUGGGGCUCAUUCCACGAGUUCCGUGCCGCAGCUAACGCAUUAAGUGCCCCGCCUGGGGAGUACGGCCGCAAGGCUAAAACUCAAAGGAAUUGACGGGGGCCCGCACAAGCGGCGGAGCAUGCGGAUUAAUUCGAUGCAACGCGAAGAACCUUACCAAGGCUUGACAU